RNAcentral lists this ribosomal RNA (500 nucleotides) under uncultured bacterium. Its description in RNAcentral is "partial 16S ribosomal RNA". It matches the Rfam family "Bacterial small subunit ribosomal RNA", at positions 30 to 523 of the family's 1533-position model. The record is from RNAcentral.
AUUGAACGCUGGCGGAAUGCUUUACACAUGCAAGUCGAACGGUAACAGGGUGCUUGCACCGCUGACGAGUGGCGAACGGGUGAGUAAUGCGUCGGAACGUGCCGAGUAGUGGGGGAUAACGCAGCGAAAGUUGUGCUAAUACCGCAUACGUACUGAGGUAGAAAGUGGGGGACCUUCGGGCCUCACGCUAUUCGAGCGGCCGACGUCUGAUUAGCUAGUAGGUGAGGUAAAGGCUCACCUAGGCGACGAUCAGUAGCGGGUCUGAGAGGAUGAUCCGCCACACUGGGACUGAGACACGGCCCAGACUCCUACGGGAGGCAGCAGUGGGGAAUUUUGGACAACGGGCGAAAGCCUGAUCCAGCCAUGCCGCGUGUCUGAAGAAGGCCCUCGGGUUGUAAAGGACUUUUGUCAGGGAGGAAAUCCCUAGUGCUAAUAACACUGGGGGAUGACAGUACCUGAAGAAUAAGCACCGGCUAACUACGUGCCAGCCGCCGCAGUAA